AGAGUUUGAUCAUGGCUCAGAACGAACGCNGNCGGCGCGUUUUAAGCAUGCAAGUCGAACGGUAGUAUGGCUUCGGCCAUAUGAGAGUGGCGAACGGGUGAGUAACACGUAGAUGAUCUGCCCUUGAGUUGGGGAUAGCCCAUGGAAACAUGGAGUAAUACCGAAUACGGUCCGGACACUGUGGUGACCGGAAGAAAAGCGCUUCGGCGCUGCUCGAGGAUGAGUCUGCGGCUGAUUAGCUAGUUGGUGGGGUAAGAGCUCACCAAGGCGACGAUCAGUAGCCGGCCUGAGAGGGUGAACGGCCACACUGGGACUGAGAUACGGCCCAGACUCCUACGGGAGGCAGCAGCUAAGAAUCUUCCGCAAUGGACGAAAGUCUGACGGAGCGACGCCGCGUGGGUGAUGAAGGCCGGAAGGUUGUAAAGCCCUUUUCUGACUGAGGAAUAAGCCCGGGAGGCAAUGCCUGGGUGAUGACGGUAAGUCAGGAAUAAGCCCCGGCCAAUUACGUGCCAGCAGCCGCGGUAAUACGUAUGGGGCGAGCGUUGUUCGGAAUCAUUGGGCGUAAAGGGCGCGUAGGCGGUUAUGCAAGCUUGGUGUGAAAGAUCGCAGCUCAACUGCGGGAACGCGCCGGGAACUGCAUGACUGGAGUUCAAGAGGGGAAGCUGGAAUUCCUGGUGUAGGGGUGAAAUCUGUAGAUAUCAGGAAGAACAUCGGUGGCGAAGGCGAGCUUCUGGCUAUGAAAUGACGCUGAGGCGCGAAAGCGUGGGGAGCAAACAGGAUUAGAUACCCUGGUAGUCCACGCUGUAAACGAUGUGCACUAGGUGUUGGGCCGAUGAAGGCUCAGUGCCGUAGCUAACGCGUUAAGUGCACCGCCUGGGGAGUAUGCUCGCAAGAGUGAAACUCAAAUGAAUUGACGG
RNAcentral lists this ribosomal RNA (917 nucleotides) under uncultured bacterium. RNAcentral describes it as "bacterial SSU rRNA". It matches the Rfam family "Bacterial small subunit ribosomal RNA", at positions 8 to 916 of the family's 1533-position model. The record is from RNAcentral.